GGAUUAGAUACCCUGGUAGUCCACGCCGUAAACGAUGAGUGCUAGAUAUCGGGAAAUUUAUUUUUCGGUUUCGUAGCUAACGCAUUAAGCACUCCGCCUGGGGAGUACGAUCGCAAGAUUAAAACUCAAAGGAAUUGACGGGGGCUCGCACAAGCGGUGGAGCAUGCGGUUUAAUUCGAUGCUACGCGAAAAACCUUACCAACCCUUGACAUGGUGGUCGCAAGUUCCAGAGAUGGAAUUUUUCAGUUCGGCUGGACCACACACAGGUGUUGCAUGGCUGUCGUCAGCUCGUGCCG
This 296-nucleotide ribosomal RNA is filed under the name uncultured bacterium. RNAcentral's name for it is "partial 16S ribosomal RNA". It matches the Rfam family "Bacterial small subunit ribosomal RNA", at positions 775 to 1067 of the family's 1533-position model. The record is from RNAcentral.